UACGGGGGGGGCAAGCGUUGUUCGGAAUUACUGGGCGUAAAGGGCUCGUAGGCGGCCAACUAAGUCCGACGUGAAAUCCCCAGGCUUAACCUGGGAACUGCGUCGGAUACUGGAUGGCUUGAAUUCGGGAGAGGGAUGCAGAAUUCCAGGUGUAGCGGUGAAAUGCGUAGAUAUCUGGAGGAACACCGGUGGCGAAGGCGGCAUCCUGGACCGAAACUGACACUGAGGAGCGAAAGCCAGGGGAGCAAACGGG
RNAcentral lists this ribosomal RNA (253 nucleotides) under uncultured bacterium. RNAcentral's name for it is "partial 16S ribosomal RNA". It matches the Rfam family "Bacterial small subunit ribosomal RNA", at positions 524 to 776 of the family's 1533-position model. The record is from RNAcentral.